This is a non-coding RNA of Oryctolagus cuniculus (rabbit), 8903 nucleotides long. Lineage: Eukaryota; Metazoa; Chordata; Mammalia; Lagomorpha; Leporidae. The record is from RefSeq and is a predicted model, not a curated record.
GAGAGAGAGAGAGACAGAGAGAAAGGUCUUCCUUUUUCCAUUGGUUCACCCUCCAAGUGGCUGCUACAGCCUGCAUGCUGUGGCCGGUGUGCUGCACCGACCCGAAGCCAGGAGCCAGGUGCUUCCUCCUGGUCUCCCAUGCGGGUGCAGGGCCCAAGCACUUGGGCCAUCCUCCACUGCACUCCCAGGCCACAGCAGAGAGCUGGACUUGAAGUGGAGCAACCGGGACAGAAUCCGACGCCCCGACCUGGACUAGAACCUGGGAUGCCAGCACCGCAGGCGGAGGAUUAGCCUAGUGAGCUGCGGCACCAGCCCUUAAGAAACACCCAAACUAACACAGUAGAAAGGACGGAAGGACGGAAGGACGGAAGGAAGGAAGGAAGGAAGGAACAAGUGAAUGAAACAGGGAAGGAAGCAGAGAGAGAAGGAUGGAGCUUCAGGAGUCCCAUGAUGCCCCGGGUCACCUCUGCAAUAACUGGAGGAACACCUUUGUUAAGGAGAUACCUCGUGCCAAACUCCUUAGGCCAAAACCAACCAAAAAGAGAUUUUCUUUGAAGAUACUAGAUUGGUAAAACACUUUAAGUGACAACGAGGGACCAGAAGAAAAGCACUGCUUUCUUUUACUGUAAUGCCGCGUGGGACUUUAAACACAGGUUUCAGGAAGAAGGGGUUGUUGCUUGGAUUGUAGUGUCCUUGACCUUUGGAUGCUAGAGCAGGCUCACCGGUAAGGACUUAGAUUGUUUAUCCUUUUCACAUCUUGAUUAUUGAGGCUACAAUAAAGAACUUUCCCUCUUUUCACCCAGAGGUUAUUUCAAAGCCCAUAGCUAUUCAGUAUGCACAUUUCUUUGAUGGCAGUAGAAACAAUCCAUUACCCUCCUAUCCUAGUUAUUUCCUCAUCUACAUCUACCACUUUACUGAAACUGCUCUCUUAACUGUUACUCCAAAAUGAAUAACCUCAGUCAAUCUUCAUUCUCCCAGACAACUACUGAAGCUUAGUGUGACUGCCCCUUCUUCCUUCUCCAAACCCUCCUCCUUUGCUGUGCCUGGCACUGUCACACUGCUUCUUCCCCUUUCCUGUUUUAUUUUUGUUACAAUAAUCUUUCUGCCUUCCUCCCUCUUUAGACUAGACAUUUUCCACCCUCCACAUUUUUGUUUUCUGGACUAUGAGCUCUUUCCUAUGGUUUCAUCUACUGUUUCUGGGAACUAAAAAUCUGUUUCACUCUGAUUUGAGGUGUGAGUUGAACUUUUGAGCUUCUAAUUGCUUUCUAUAUGUUUAUAAUGUGUGUAUUUGGUGCCAGGUGAGGUGAAAGUUGUGUUUGCAGUGAGCAUACUUUGUCGAAACAUAGCUUUCAGCUGUGAAAGUAGACAUUUCCUUUGGAACAGAUCUUUGCUUUCUUAAGCUGUACAGAUAUAAGGCUAGUAGUUAAUCUUGGGGUAGUUUGAAUGAUGGUAAAGCUAUCUAAGAUAGAGCUGGCAAGUGUUCUGUUUAAGAAGAUAAAAUAUUCUCAUGUAUCUAUGUGGACACUACAGAUUGUUUUAUGACAAUAAAUUUGAAAAUUCAGAUGAAAUAAACAAGUAUUUGAAAACCACAGCUUGUACACAUUGAUGCAAGAGAACAAAGUCUUUAUUGAUGUAUUAAAGAAAUUGAAUUCCUCAUUUAAAACUUUCUUAGAAAGAAGUAUCCAGGCCCGCUGAGUGCUCCAGAUAUCUAAGGAAGAAACACUACCAAUGGCCAGUUACCAGGCUAUUACAUAAAAGGAUCUGCAAGCUAAUCUUACUCAUGAAUAGAAAGGCAAAAAUCCUAACUACACUAUUAGCCACAAGAAUUCCACAAUAUAGUAACAUGCACACCAUAACACCACACAAAAUGUAAAUUCCAAAUGGAUUAGAGCCCCAAGUGAGAAAAGUAACUCAAUAAAUCUAGAUAAUAACAAGAAGAACAUUGUAAUGACUAAGAUAUUCUUGAACAGGCAAAUAAUUUUUUUGAGAUUGCUUUCCUUCUUUCUUUGAAAGGGAGAAAGAGAGAGAGAGAGAGAGAGAGAGAGAGAGAGAGAGAGAGAGAAAGGUCUUCUAUCUGCUAGUUCAUUCCUCCAAAUGACUGCAACAGCUAGGGCUGGGCUAAGCUGAAGGCAGGAGCUGAGAAUUCUGUCCUGGUCUUCCACACGGGUAGCAGGAACCCAGGUACUUGGGCCAUCUUCUGCUGCUUUCUCAGGCACAUUAGCAGAAGUUGGAUCAGUAGCAAAACAGCUGGAACUUGAACCAGUGCUUUGAUACAGGAUUCUAGCAUUGCAGGAGACAGUUUAAUCCACUCACCACAACACUGCCCUGGGCAAAGAUUUCUUAAGGAGGACAUAAGAGACUCUAAUUAUAAAAGAAAAGAUGGAUAAAUUAGACUACAUUACAAAUUAAGAUUUUCAAUGACAAGGAGGUAGGAACACUUAUUACUUUGAUUUGAUCAGUAUAAAUUAUAUACAUGUAUUAAAAUAUCAUGCUGUACACAUAAAUAUAUAUCAUUAUUAUGUUAAUUUUAAAAGAAAAAAAGGGGUGGACAUUUGGUCUAGUGCUUAAGUUGCCAGUGAAGAUGGCCCUAUCUGACAUGAUAGUAGCUGGUUUGAGUCCUGACUCCAGCUCCUAACUCUGGUUUCCUGUCAAAGCACACCCUGAGGCAAAGGGGUGAUGGACAGGUACUUAGGUUGUGGCUACCCUUGUGGGAGACCUGGAUUGUGUUUCCAGCUCCCAGUUUUAGCUGUGGCCAGUCCUGGCUAUUGUGAGUAUUUGGGGAGUAAAACAGAAGAUGGAGGUACUCUCGCAUCAAUCAAUAAAAUUUUAAAAGAGAAAAACAAAAACCAAAACACUAAAAUUUUGUUUUUAUUUUAUUCCCUAAAAGAUGUCUUUUAUUCCCUAAAAGAUAUCUUUAAGAUAUGAGUACCAAAUAACUGUUAUUAGCUUUAACAUAAAAAAUCAUAAAGAAUGAUAGAGAAAACAUUUCUUUUUCUAUGACCCAACCUAAGAAUAAAUAAAUCUUUAUGUGGUGUGUAUUACAGGUAUAGCUGUUGCCUGCUGAGUCUCCUGCUUCCCAUUCUCCACUCUAAUUUUUAUCUCAUGCCUUCCUGUUCCCAGGACUAACCGCGCUCUCUCCCUGCUCAUCUCUCCCUGCAGGUCUUUAUAUUUUAUAGGCGAUGUAACUCCAAAUAAGAGCUUCUUACUCAGGGUUCCCACAGGAAUGUGGGGCACACUCAGCAGCUCUGUGAAGGAGAGCUGCCAAAUGAACUAUUUGCAGAGGAGUGGUAGGAUGUGGACUAGAGACACUGGAAUGAGCAGGGCUCUAGAACUCGUUUGGAGUUCCAUUCCCCUCUCGCCUAAAGAGUCAAAAAGGCACUCAAAGAAAGAACAUACUGGGAAUAGGCUGCCUGAUGGAGCUAGACUUUUGGCCAAGGGAGGUUUCAGUCUAUGAAGCCUUACAGAAAGGAGUCAAGGGAAUGGCAUCGCUGAUACCGCAUUGCUGCCUCAGGCUCCUCAUUUGCAGAACUCAGUUGAGUGCAAAAGUCAGAGAAUCCAGUGCCGCAGUGGACAGAGUUCCAUGUGCAGUACAGCUAGGUGCAAGGCAGGUGUGCUCCCCUGUCAAACAGCCCACAUUCAUGCUACUCUGUGUGUUCUACUGUUAUAUAAAAUUUAUCAUGAUCUCUCUAUACUUUUGCCACUUGUUUUCCCCCAUACUUUUCCAGAACUUUUUCCAAACUUAGUAUUUUUCUUAACAUACAUUUUUUCUUUCUACCUAAGAUAAAUUUAAGUCAAGAAGCACAUUCUGCUCUGUUCAGUCUUGUAGCCAGGAAUGAUCUCCAAAUUUCAACACUGCACUGCCCUACUGGACAGCUUGCUGCUGAGUCUAGGCUCUGACUUUUUUGGGUAUACCAGAGCUAGGAUGAUUGUCACAGCAGCUUCUGGUGGCAACUGCCUUUGCUACAUCCUUGCAUUCUCUUCAGCUGGUUUCAGACUGUGUUUUAACAUGAGUAUAUUGCAGAAACCCAGGUCAUGAGGCUGCACUGUAUUUCCAAGAGAUGCUGGGGAAGCAAAUUUCUAAGUGUCUCUUUUGGAGGGGUACAAGUUCUAUAACAGAGGAAGGGUUAAAAACACCUCAAAGACAGCCAAGGAAGCUUGACAAUGCUCCAUAUCUCUCUGAGUCCAUUUUGUGUUGCUAUGACAAAAUACUUAUGACUGAGUACUUUAUAAGGAAAACGGCUUGUUUGGCUUACAAUUCAGUUGGCUGCAAAGUCCAAACAAUAUGGCUUCUGGCACCUGGCUGUGUGACAACAUGGUAGAGAAGCAGGAAGAGAAACAGCUGCAGGCAGGAGGGGCACAUGUUCACAUGGGAAGCAAGAGAGGAAGAACCAGGCACCCCUCCCACCAACCCCCCUUUUUAAAGCUGGUAUAACAACCUGCGGUUGUAGAAACUAAUCCAUCCCAAAAGACCUGAUCCACUCCCAUAAGACAGCAUUAAUCCAUUCAUGAGGGCAUGUCCUCAUGAUCUAAUUACCCUCUUUUAAUCUCAGAGGUUCUACUACUGCACAACCGCCACAUUGGAGACCAGCUUUCAGCAUGGGUACUUUUGGGGGACAAACACAUACAAACAAGAACUGUCCAUCCCCUACCAGCUGCCUCUUUCACUAGAAUUCCCAUCUUAACAUAUUAUAGUGUUGAUUCAAACACAAGGCCCCAAGCCUGAGUCCAAUCUUGGAAGUUCAGCCCUUCACUGAGAGUGCUUGCCUUUGAGUGAAGCCCCUGGACUACCCAGAAUCCCCUUUGACCCAGGUUUCUUUGAUGCUAAUCAAUGCUACCAUUGAAUUAGCCAUUGGUUUUGCCUUUGAUGCCUGGGAUUUUGCUAAAAUAAUAUGAAACACAAUUUUGUUGUUGGCCAUCUCACAUUUUCACUCCAUUAUUUUGUCUUGUCUCUUUAUUAAAAUUUCAGGGAUCCUUAGAGGAGUGAGUAAUAAUCAUUUUCAUAGGAACUAGCAUGUUGCUAUGAACAUAGGAUGUAUAAAACUUUACUGUUUGGUAAUUCCAUGGUUUCAAACUUGAGAGAUAAUGAUUAUACUCAAGUGUAGUUUUACAAAUAAAUACACAUGCAAUCUGCUCUACAGACCAUGAUACAAAACAGUUUACACAGUCCCAAUACCUAGUGCUCUAGGAGGACAUUUAUUACUUAUUAAUAUGUCUUACAGUUCCCGUCUUCCUCCCUUCCAGGUUUGUCUUAGAUUGUAUAGAGGAUAAAGUCUGGGAGCUACAUGAUAUUCACAAAAAACCAAGGGGAGAAGAAACUUAGGGUAAUACAAUGUUUAAUCUUUUUGAAACACAAAGAAUAUAGCUAAAAAGUCUUCUUUAGGGAGAAUUUACACCGAGUCAGAUACAUAAAAUUGGGUAGGUAAGACCUCUCAAAGAACUUUUGCAGUUGGAAUAUAUUGGUAGCUCCCUUGGAGAUUCCUAAAAUAUGGUCUUGGGAAUGACCAGCUGACCAACAAUGCUUCCAAUGCCCAUGGGGCACAGGAAGUGGGCCAAUGAAUGACAGUCUUAUGCCUGUGUUGACUACUCACCAUUUUCUAUGCCUUGCUGAGGUGGGUAUGCUGAUGAAUACUGGUGUUUGAAAAACAUCCGUGGAGAGAGGGUGAGGCAGCAGAUUUAGCCACAGGGAAGUCUCCUUACAUCCAUGCCAUGACCCAGUUCCUGCAAUAGAACACAUUUGGGGUACUCAGGAAAAGUACCAACAAAAACUAUGACAGCUUAGCAGAAUAAAUAUAGGGCCAUAAGCCUUUAAUAAGUCUAGGAAGAAAAAACCAUAUCCCAGCUUGUAUAAAGGAAGAGGUAUAACAAGGUAAUUAAUUUGAUUGGUGAUUGAGAGCGGAAAUGCUGGUGGUUUGUGUUAUGUAGGCAGCAUGGAUAUCCAGGAGUUGCAGCAAGCAGGAUUGGAAAUGAAAUCAAUCAGGGCUGGUGCCGCAGCUCACUAGGCUAGUCCUCCACCUGUGGCACUGUCACCCCGGGUUCUAGUUCUGGUUGGGGCGCUGGAUUCUGUCCUGGUUGCUCCUCUUCCAGUCCAGCUCUCUGCUGUGGCCCGAGAGUGCAGUGGAGGAUGGCCCGAGUGCUUGGGCCCUGCACCCACGAUGGAGACCAGAAGGAAGCACCUGGCUCCUGGCUUCAGAUCAGUGCAGCACACCGGCCAUAGCGGCCAUUUGGGGGGUGUACCAACGAAAGGAAGACCUUUCUCUCUGUCUCUCUCUCUAACUGUCUAACUCUGCCUGUCAAAAAAAAUCAAUCAGAAACCCAGUAUAAAUUGAGGUUUCCCAGAAUGCUAUCUUGUGUAUUAGUAUUUAUUAAGCACUCAUUAGGUGUAAAUGGAGGUCCCAGUGGCAUCAAAACAGAGAUGCUCUCUGCGCUCUAAGAGAGAAAUGUGUGGCACUACAGUAAAAGCUCCAUUGUGGCAGUGACUGUUUAUUGCUGUGUUGUCAGCACCUAGAACACUGCCCAGUACUUCAAUAAAUAUGCAGUGAGUAAAUGAAUAAAUUAUCUCUUAAGUGGUUUUGUCAGUUCCUUUUGUCUGCAAUAUUUAACUUGAAAUAGGCAAGUCAAACCGUGAGGACCUGGAUUAGCUUGUGGAUGUAUAGUCUUACUGAAGCAUGAGGCUUUGAGAUUGGGCAGGUGUGAAGAAUGGAUGACAGUUGGAGGCUCACAUAGAUUCUGUUUGCUAAGCUGAAGAAAGGCAAGGGAGAACACGGUGAACAGAAGAAACACUAUAAAGAUCUCACAAAGUAAAACUUUAUAUGACUCAGAGUAACUUGGGAAUUCCAUGUGAUAAUAGACAGAUCCAUUUUACUUGUUUUGGUUAUAAGUAUAGCUAUUUAUGAAUAAUGGUAAUGAGCAGAGAAUGAUUUUAAAUGGCACAGUCACAAAUAGCUGUGGGCUCUGCAAAUAGGGUUACAGCUGCCAACCAUAGCAUAGUUCUUCUGUGUGUACAGUGUGGUAAGAACAGUUGGCCAGCCACAGGUUUUUUUCAGCCACACCUGUUCACCCAGAUAAUAGUCACCAGCAGCAGUACCUCUGAGUGUAAAGAUAAAUAUAUAUUUUGUAUGUCUGUGUUAUCAGUGUUUAUAACUAUACACACAAUUUGUAAAUUAGGGAGUGAGACUGACUGAUUUUGUUAGUUUGAAAGAAGAAUAUGACCCAUUGUAUAUCCCAGGUGGUAACUGACAAAUCUUACUUAAAUAGAUGGAUCUCUUAGUUGGGAUGAUGCCUUCUGAGUCAUUAGCAUGGUUUCAUUUAUGUGCUCAAUACUGGGAGAACCUUGGUAUGAAAUGACUCAUUAAUUAUAUUAAGUCAGUUAUGUCAUGGGUCAAAUCACAGCUCCUGAAGUACAAACCCACAUGUAACAAAGCCUGAAACAAUGCAAUUGCCCCAUUAAUCAUUCACUCAUUCAAUAAUUCAUUCAUUUGCUCAUUCAACAAAUACAUAUCAAGUGCCUCCUAAGCUGGAUGGAUUAUGGGUAACGUGAAUAUGAAUAAUUCAUAAUCUUUGUCUAUAAUUAUCCUGAGAAAACUAGUUUUAUCUUGUGAGACUGGUAUUCUUAAAACAUCCUAUUGAAUUUUUGUGGCAGUAAUAUUAGCUACUAUAAAAUAUUUUCCCAUUAGGUUUUUUAAAAAAUUUUUGUGGUAUCCUCUAAAAGUAUGUUUUAGAAUAUCUGAAUUUUUAAACAAAAAUAAAAUAAAGGGUCAGUGCUAAGCAUCAGUGUGCUAUUUGGAUUUAACAAACCUGUUAUGUGCCUUCACUAUAAUUAUAAAGUUUAAAAAUGUGUACCUACAGGGUAAAAACUUGUUAGAGCUGCUUGUCUCUCAGCUCAGACUUAAUCCAGGCUAUUAACUAUGAUUAAAAUUUAAGGUGCUUAAUUGUCAUGGUUUAAGAUAUGUCUGUGCACACUAAAACAUGCUUAAAUAUAGUAGGUUUUUCUGGUUAAAGUCACAGAAGAGGUAAAACUUGCCUGCUAUUCUCUUCAUAUUUGAGAAUAAGGGGUUACUAGGUUGAAACUAUUUAAACAAAUAAAUGAUUUCUUAUUCUCCAGAAGGUGAGAAUGUUAGUUAUUCAUUGCUGCUUACCAAAUCACUCCAUAACUUUCCAACCUAAAAUAAGAAUUGCUUAAUUGGAUCACAAUUUUCUGGAGCAGUGGAAUGGCUCUUGCAUUCUGAGUCUGUUUUGUUCAUGUUUACUGUCUACUUGGCAGCGCAGCUGAAGCUGGGUUGUUGAGAAUGUUUUCAUUUGUAUGCUUGUUGCAUGGAAGAUUGGCUGUGUGUAGAGCCCUUAAUUUGGGGUGGCUCAUUUCUGUCCCUCAUGAUCUAUCAUUCUCUAGUGGGCUAGCCUGGGCUUGUUCACACUGUGGUUGAAAAUUUCCCAGAAGCACAUAAGCCCUUUUAAGUCUCUGCCUGUAUCAUGCUUGCUAAUGGCUCUUUGACCAAACCAAGUUCAAAACAAAUAAACAAACCUCCCAGGAUUUAAAAAGCUGGGUAAAGAUUUUUCCCUCUUUUUGGGACGAACAACAUGUCUUAUUGCAUGGGGAUAUGCUUGUGCUUAAAGAAAUUGAGAAAUUGAUAGUCAUUUAUUUGCAAUAUGCUUUAAAACUAUGCUUUAUUUUUUGUCAAUGAGUGUCAGUGAGCAUACUAUAUAAAUAGUAAAUGAUCAGUAGGUUGCUUCAGGUUUUUGAAGUUUUUAAAAAGAGAAAGUAUCUCCAAUCUAGUUUUCUGAAUCUAGAAACUUUUUAGAAAUGUAAUAUUUACUUACAAUUAGAGACUGAGAAACAGUUCCUCAGAAAGAGCAUAAAAUUCAAAAAAUUAUUUUGAGUAGAAAAACUGGGAUGUGUUGAUUAGGAU